Molecule: transfer RNA, 73 nt
Filed under: Stegodyphus mimosarum
Lineage: Eukaryota; Metazoa; Arthropoda; Arachnida; Araneae; Eresidae
Rfam family: tRNA
About the family: Transfer RNA (tRNA) molecules are approximately 80 nucleotides in length. Their secondary structure includes four short double-helical elements and three loops (D, anti-codon, and T loops). Further hydrogen bonds mediate the characteristic L-shaped molecular structure. tRNAs have two regions of fundamental functional importance: the anti-codon, which is responsible for specific mRNA codon recognition, and the 3' end, to which the tRNAs corresponding amino acid is attached (by aminoacyl-tRNA synthetases). tRNAs cope with the degeneracy of the genetic code in two manners: having more than one tRNA (with a specific anti-codon) for a particular amino acid; and 'wobble' base-pairing, i.e. permitting non-standard base-pairing at the 3rd anti-codon position.
Source: Rfam by way of RNAcentral
GCCUCUGUGGUGUAGUGGUCAGCACGCUCGACGCGUAUUCGAGAGGUCCGUGGUUCGAGUCCCGGCGAGAGCA